GAUGAACGCUAGCGGGAGGCUUAACACAUGCAAGUCGAGGGGCAGCACGAGGUAGCAAUACUUUGGUGGCGACCGGCGCACGGGUGAGUAACGCGUAUGCAACCUACCCUGUACUGGGGGAUAACCCGGAGAAAUUCGGACUAAUACCCCAUAAAGAUAUUAGAAGGCAUCUUUUUAUAUUUAAAGCUCAGGCGGUACGGGAUGGGCAUGCGUAACAUUAGCUAGUUGGCAGGGUAAUGGCCUACCAAGGCAACGAUGUUUAGGGGUCCUGAGAGGGUGAUCCCCCACACUGGUACUGAGACACGGACCAGACUCCUACGGGAGGCAG
This 328-nucleotide ribosomal RNA is filed under the name uncultured Bacteroidota bacterium. RNAcentral describes it as "bacterial SSU rRNA". It matches the Rfam family "Bacterial small subunit ribosomal RNA", at positions 28 to 351 of the family's 1533-position model. Lineage: Bacteria; Pseudomonadati; Bacteroidota. The record is from RNAcentral.